RNAcentral lists this ribosomal RNA (322 nucleotides) under uncultured soil bacterium. RNAcentral's name for it is "bacterial SSU rRNA". It matches the Rfam family "Bacterial small subunit ribosomal RNA", at positions 26 to 377 of the family's 1533-position model. The record is from RNAcentral.
AGAGCGAACGCUGGCGGCAGGCCUAACACAUGCAAGUCGAACGAACUCUUCGGAGUUAGUGGCGGACGGGUGAGUACCACGUGGGAACGUGCCUUUAGGUUCGGAAUAACUCAGGGAAACUUGUGCUAAUACCGAAUGUGCCCUUCGGGGGAAAGAUUUAUCGCCUUUAGAGCGGCCCGCGUCUGAUUAGCUUGUUGGUGGGGUAAUGGCCCACAAGGCUACGAUCAGUAGCUGGUCUGAGAGGAUGACCAGCCACAUUGGGACUGAGACACGGCCCAAACUCCUACGGGAGGCAGCAGUGGGGAAUCUUGCGCAAUGGGCG